CAGGGGAUAAAAAUGAAAAGAAAAAAAAGAAGGGGAGAGCUCGGAUUUCUUCUUCGUCUUUUCUCUCUUCCCACUUCCUUCGACUGAAACUUGAGGAAUAAAACUGAAGUUUUUCAUGCAUGAUUAAGAUUGGUGAUCUUGGAGUCCGGUUAAGCUGCAGAUGUUGGUGAUUUGUGUUCGCUAGUUUCAUAGUCGAGAUGGAGAUAUUCUUUUUCUCGUUCUUCAAUUGGAAGUUGUUUGAAGUGAUCAUUCUCUUCACUUAACUGAAUAAGUGAUUCUCAUAAAUCGAUGGGGUGCUCGGUGAAAUGUACGAAUGAUGUUUGAAUUUGGUUUGUGUUGAGUAUAUCAGAUUAAGUGGUUCACUGUAAGUAUAUAUAUAUAUAUAUAUAUAUAAGGAUAGCAUGGUCAGUUUCAAAUAUGAAAAAUUCAUAAAUAAUGAAAUACUGCAUAGUGUAUGUUCUCUUGUUCUUUUA
Molecule: long non-coding RNA, 473 nt
Organism: Papaver somniferum (opium poppy)
Lineage: Eukaryota; Viridiplantae; Streptophyta; Magnoliopsida; Ranunculales; Papaveraceae
Exons: 2
Source: RefSeq, a predicted model, not a curated record